Molecule: ribosomal RNA, 447 nt
Filed under: uncultured bacterium
Lineage: Bacteria
Description: bacterial SSU rRNA
Rfam family: Bacterial small subunit ribosomal RNA
Source: RNAcentral
UUUCCAGACUCCUACGGGAGGCAGCAGUGGGGAAUAUUGCACAAUGGGGGAAACCCUGAUGCAGCAACGCCGCGUGAGUGAAGAAGUAUUUCGGUAUGUAAAGCUCUAUCAGCAGGGAAGAAAAUGACGGUACCUGAGUAAGAAGCCCCGGCUAACUACGUGCCAGCAGCCGCGGUAAUACGUAGGGGGCAAGCGUUAUCCGGAUUUACCGGGUGUAAAGGGAGCGUAGACGGCGAUACAAGUCUGAAGUGGAAGCCCGGGGCUCAACCCCGGGACUGCUUUGGAAACUGUGUUGCUGGAGUGCUGGAGAGGCAAGCGGAAUUCCUAGUGUAGCGGUGAAAUGCGUAGAUAUUAGGAAGAACACCAGUGGCGAAGGCGGCCUGCUGGACUGCAACUGACGUUGAGGCCCGAAAGCGUGGGGAGCAAACAGGAUUAGAUACCCCGGUA